Long non-coding RNA from Callithrix jacchus (white-tufted-ear marmoset), 1319 nucleotides. RefSeq lists it as uncharacterized. The record is from RefSeq and is a predicted model, not a curated record. NCBI's taxonomy places the organism in Eukaryota, Metazoa, Chordata, Mammalia, Primates, Cebidae.
GCUACAUGGGAAACGCACAGGAGCAUCAGCUCUCACAUUCAGCAGGUGUGAGUACUGAGGCCUCGCCUCUCCUGAGAAGCCUGCCCUGAUGACUCCAACUGGAGGAAGAACGGGAUGGCUUGGUGUUUUGUCACAGUAAAACCAGCAUGUGACGUCUAAGGAAGAAUCACGGAGUCUGACCUCCAGAACUGCCUUUGGACUGCACUGCUCUUCCAGGUCAGCAGAGAAGCCCGAUGUCCCCAUCUCUCUAAAACCCACAGGCACUUCCACAGAAACCAUGGGAUGCAUGCAGGACUCCGAAUGCCAUCUCUCCUUCACCCCAAAUCCUACAGCUCUGUGGGCUACCAGGGUCUAAUGGAAACCACACAGAGCACAGCCUCCACUAAGUGCUGGGUGGUAAGAGUGUACUGCUCUUCUUCUGCAAGCCUCAGUUUCCUCGUCUGAGCCCUCUUCCAGCUCCCAUGCUGCAGUCCCAUGAGUAAGGGUGUGCUCCCUUCCCCACUACCAGGUGAACAGGUCAAGGUGGCCUGUGACACCCCACACCCAGCAGCUUCUGGGAGGUGCUGGCUGCUCCCAGGAGCCCUGCUUUGGGAGGCCACACUUAAUACUCCUGAGUGGCGAGGCCCCAGCUCUACACAGAGGCCUCAUGUGACUGCCCAAGCCCUUCUCCUUUCUGGUCACCACUGUUCCCAAGGUAGAAAGAACCCCAGGCCACCUCAGUAGGGACACAGUGAUCAGACUCCUCAGACGGGACUGCCAGGUGUACAGAGGACUCAUUUUUAUUACUUGGCCAUGGGGAAGAACAAAACUGCUUCAUGGCAACACCAUUUUGCAGAGGAAAGAAAAAGAGGACUGCUUCCCCUAGAGCAGAGCAACGACAGCUCCCGUUCUUGUGUUAAUCAUCUGUCCCUGCACAGGGUGGGAAGGGCAGGAAAACAUCUGGAUAAGGCCAGACCAGUGGUUUAAACAAGAACGUCACAGCACUGAGGUGGUAGCAGUAACAAGUGGGACAGGCAGCUCCCAGCACAGGAGAAGGUCAGCCCUCAAGGUCGCCAGGAUGUAGCUCUGCUGAGCUAUGCCUUGCAGCCAGCUGCCUAAAAGGAGGGGCAGGCAGGGCAGAGAUGGGGCUGACCACAGGUCCCUUGAAACUCCCUGGUCCCAGCCAGGGCUCAGGGCCAGGGGCAGUUGGGGAGGGCAGGGGAAGCUGCUGGGCUAGAGAGGAGAAGCUGAUCAGCCUGACAGAGGAGUCACACUUCCUACCCCACCCCACACCCCCAGACGCUGCUGCUCACACAACCCCAAAUAAAAACUACCCCAUA